RNAcentral lists this ribosomal RNA (502 nucleotides) under uncultured bacterium. Its description in RNAcentral is "bacterial SSU rRNA". It matches the Rfam family "Bacterial small subunit ribosomal RNA", at positions 29 to 520 of the family's 1533-position model. The record is from RNAcentral.
AGUGAACGCUGGCGGCAGGCCUAAUACAUGCAAGUCGAACGGCAGCACGGCAGAGCUUGCUCUGUGGGUGGCGAGUGGCGGACGGGUGAGGAAUACAUGGGAAUCUGCCCAGUCGUGGGGGAUAACGUAGGGAAACUUACGCUAAUACCGCAUGCGCCCUUCGGGGGAAAGCCGGGGACCUUCGGGCCUGGCGCGAUUGGAUGAGCCCAUGUCGGAUUAGCUAGUUGGCGGGGUAAUGGCCCACCAAGGCGACGAUCCGUAGCUGGUCUGAGAGGAUGAUCAGCCACACUGGAACUGAGACACGGUCCAGACUCCUACGGGAGGCAGCAGUAGGGAAUAUUGGACAAUGGGCGCAAGCCUGAUCCAGCCAUGCCGCGUGAGUGAAGAAGGCCCUCGGGUUGUAAAGCUCUUUUGUCCGGAAAGAAAAGCGCCGGGUUAAUACCCUGGUGUCCUGACGGUACCGGAAGAAUAAGCACCGGCUAACUUCGUGCCAGCAGCCCGG